Molecule: long non-coding RNA, 3583 nt
Organism: Ictalurus punctatus (channel catfish)
Lineage: Eukaryota; Metazoa; Chordata; Actinopteri; Siluriformes; Ictaluridae
Exons: 5
Source: RefSeq, a predicted model, not a curated record
UACACCGGAAAUCGCUCUGUUAACUUCAGUGGGCUGUUGCUUGUGUGUGCGAGACAAAAGAGUAGGGAAAAAGCUACACGCGGGCGCGUUUCUACUCCACUAUAAAUCAAAGAAAUGAUUAUAUCUCUGUGCACAGAUUGCGUUUCUAAAUCCGUGCUUGGAAAAGCGAACAUCAACUCAGAUUAUAUUCCUGAAAUGACGUGAGGACAUGUGGACGGGGUUUGGAUUGGAAUAUGACACGUGCUGUUGAAAGCUGCAUGGUUCAACUUCCGGGAUAGGGAAAAUAUGUGAAGCUUAGAAGAAAGUCUAUAUAAAGAACCAUGUUCUGGUUUAAAGGCUGAGCAUAUAUAGAUGUAUCUGCAGCCUUCUUUGGAUUGAUCUAAUUUGAAGACUUCUGGUUAACAGGUUGACUGAACUUGUAGGCAAAAAGUGAUGAAUCUGAUGCUUCUUCAAUAAACCAUAAACUACAUUACCAAUUGCUUUGGCUUCUGUCUUUUAUCAUGUUUGGUGGCACUGUCUUUGAACCUUUGAAGCCCUCCUCAUGGCUCCAUAGGCCAAGCAACAGUGCAAAAUUAAAGGCUUGUUAUAACUGGGGCUUCUUGGCAUCACAGCCCAAGUUGCUCUUUUAAAUGCAAGCUACAAUUGUUUCCCCAAAAUAAACAUGGUAGAGAAAGUAGUAUUAAAGUAAAAACACGAAGUAAUUUUACCAAAAGCAUUUAUACAUCCCCACACAUUACCAUUGUCACAGUAUGGCUGAACACAAUCACUUAAAACGGCAAUCAUUUUCACAAAGUGCAAAAAGUAUGCUGAGCCGUUGACAUAGAGAAGCACACAGAUCAUUUUACAUUGGACUGAUUUCCACAAACAAUGGCACAGCAGUAUUGUGGUGGGUGUUUUCAAGUUAGCGCAACUGGACAUAGUACUUUGACAUCUUUAUAAUGAACUAUGAAGUGUGUUGAGGAAAGCAACUGAAACACAGAUGUGAUCAUCAUUAGAUAACUGAUUACCAGUCCUGUUGGGUUAUUUUUCUUGUAACUGUGGAUCUGUUUUUCUUUCAUACUCUGUGCUGGUAACCAAUAUCUAGAGAUCUUGGUUAUGGAAUUAUAUUUACAGUAUAUGGACAGUAUGGGAACCUCUGCUUCUUCUAUAACUAUGUUUACAUGCCCAUCAAUAUUCUCAUAUUAAUUGUAAUUUGGUAAUAUUCUAAUUAGUAUUGAGUCAUGUAAAGGCUGCAAUCUGAUUGCCUGAUUCAAAUUAAGUCAAUAUUCUGAUUCCCACCCCUGGAAUAUUCCUGUUUUACUCUGAAAUGUCUUGAAUGUAAACUCCUUAUUCAGAAAAUACACUGAAAGGAGAGGUGUAUGUGCAUGCUCAGUCUGUAAGGAAUUGUGGGUGCUAACAUAUGAUUUGCUGUAGGCUAGGUGUUUAGGAAUGGCAACUCAGGCAUACUUAGAACAACCAUGUAUACAGGAAUAUUCCAAUGCCUGUGCGCAUAUAAAUGUCAUAUUCGGAAUAUGGCCGCAACCCGAACAUAGACCUUAAACGGAAUUUGGUGUGCAUGUAAACGUAGUCAGUGGGUCUUGCAGUGGUGGACAUCAGGAAUUUUCAAAUCCAGUCCAAGAAGUUCAUUGCACUGAAGUUUCAGAUUUUUGCUGCUAAAAAGGAACCAGAUUAUAAUGGUAGGUUAGAUGAGCUUGUGAGCUUGACCAAGAGUGUUUGAAGCAGUUAAAUCUUGCAUUACAGUGGGUGUUCAGGACUAGAGUUGAAAAUCCUUGGUCUGUCCUUCAGUCAUAUCAGCAAAUGUGGCUGCAGACUUUCAGUCCACCCAAAUAGGAGCCACACCUAUUCACUGAUUGGAGAUCAGCAGCUUAAACAAAUGGAACAAGAAGCGUAAUUUAUGCUUGGUUGGAAUGGAAACCUGCAGUCAUACCAGCCUUUUGCAGUUAAGAUUGAACAGCCCUGGUCUACAUGUUCAAUCAAAUCUUUAAAGAAUAGUUACAACUAAUAGUAUGAAACAACACAGUUUUAGUCAACACAAACUGACAACAUUAAAAACAAAUUUUAGAAUCUUUGUAAAUCUUGAAAUCACAUCAACAAAAUAAUCACAUCAUCAUAACAAACCCCAUAAAUUGAGAUGAUCAGGCAAUGACUUAUACAUUCGGAUGGCUUCUCCAUAGUUCACAAUGGCAUAUAAGUCCAUGGUAAAGACAGUUCCAGAAAAGUUAUGGUUGAGAAGUCAAAGUCUACAGAGAGCGCCAUGUUUGUAUGUACUUGAUUAGCCAGCUUGAUUUAGUGCCACUUCUGGGGCAGAUGGGGUAUUAGCUGGUGUCCUUCAACACAGUGAAAUUGAUCUACUUGCAUAAUUGUAUAGACACAGAUGACUCAGGCAGCAAAGAGCGUUGUGAAGGUUGGCGUCUGUAUGGUAUUGGUUAUCCUUGAGAAAGCACAUUUGCACAAAGCAAUUGAUAAUCAUGGCAUACACAAAAUUCCACAAACAUACUUUCACUAGUUUACAUUAUUGAAAGAAUGCUGAAAAUGGCACACACUCAAUUAGGACCAUUUUAAAAUAUCCUAUCAAAAGCCACUAGCAGGGACAGGAUUUGAAAGGAGUGGCAUGGGAUUCUUUCAGUUGGCCUUCCACACUGGCUUGCAAAGGAAUGAGAUAAAAAGCUUCUAACACACCAGUUACCUCCAGUAGUAUAGUACCGAUCACACAAAAGCAGCUUUUAGCUGCAAACAAAUACUCUCAUCAGACACUUGAUUAGGAACACCUGCACAUUCAUACAAUUAUCAAAUCAACCAAAGCUUGACGACAGCGCAACCAAAAAAAAAUCAUCCAGAUACAGGUGAAGAAUUUCACUUCUUGGCUGACAAGUAGAGCCCAAUGUGCUCUUCUGUUGUUGUACCCAUCUACCUUAAGUAGUCUUCCUGCCAGCUCAAACCUGUCUGACCAUUCUUCUCUGACUUCUCUCAACAACAAGGUGUUUCUGCCCACAGAAAUGCAGCUCACUUCAUGUUUUUUUUCCCCCUCAACAUUUUGUGUAACCUUUAGAGACUGUUGUGUGUGAAAAUCCCAGGAGAUCUGCAAUUUCAGAAACACUUAAACUAGCCUAUCUGGCACCAACAACCAUGCCAUGUUCAAAGUCACUGAGAUCACAUUUUUCCCCCAAUACGAUGUUUGAUGUGAACAACUGAAGCGCUUGAUCUGUAUGAUCUGUAUUCACUGCUGCUGCCACAUGAUUGGCUGAUUGAAUAGUUGCAAGAAUGAGCAGGUGUUUCUAAUAAAGUGGUCUGUAAAUGUAUAAGAGGUCUCCAACCCAGAUGUUUGCUGUGGCCAUAGCUGAUUUUAAUCCAAGGUUAACACUGCCAGAACUGCCUCUGCAUGUAAAGCAUUAUUCAGCAGAAUUUAACUCAGUUCAAGGUCUAAUACAAAUGCAUUAGUCUACUAUUAUGCAUUUAGACACACUCAUGUUUCCAACUAAUCUUCAUGUAAGAACAUAAUAUGACAAGUGCCCUUGGUUGACUCCCCAAAGUCUCAAACGAGACUUUUAUCAGCCUUCAAAAGUCAUCCGCAGUUUGUUCAAGG